Molecule: long non-coding RNA, 5862 nt
Filed under: Salmo salar (Atlantic salmon)
Lineage: Eukaryota; Metazoa; Chordata; Actinopteri; Salmoniformes; Salmonidae
Description: lncRNA (ENSSSAG00000102738.1)
Source: RNAcentral
GGAUUCUGGUCAUACAGGAGUUUAUGGGCAUGAUGUAGUAGAUCUAGUAAAACACAAAGAGCAGAGACAAAUAAUAUUGUGGAUUUACAGGUGCAGUUGUUCAGAGGGUAAAUUAAAACAUUGAUUCGGAAAAAUGGGUUAGAUUGCUGACAGAAUGGGAUGAAAUUAGUAAGGUCAGACAUGUUUAUAGUACAAGGAAAUCUGUACGGUAGAUAGUGUCAUAUAAUGGGAACAGAAGGGAAGAGGUUAUGCUGUGUAGGAUGAUAUUAGGGCAUACGGGAUUGUAUUCCUCUUCAAAUUUGAUAGGGAAACAUGGUACUGGAAUGUGUAAUGGAUGCAUGCUAGAGGAAACGGUGAACAUUUAUUAUUAUUUUGUGAAACGUGUGAUGUAGAAAGGGAGAGGUUGUUUGAUAGGGUCAGAGAUGUUGGACGGGAAUGGGGAGUGGGUGGUAUUUUGGGUGUGGGUGAUGGGAGUAGUGAGGUUAGUUUAGAGAAUAUAUUGGUAUAGAUAGGGCGUGACUGGCCUCACACUCCAGUGCAGUAGGUAGCGGUGUAAGCACCUGUCAGUUGGUUGCCAUUCGCCAAUAUAACUUAAAGAAAUAGAGGAAGAAGGAGGAGGUAACGAUCGUCCCAGUGCAUUUCGAGAGAAACGAAAGUGGAAGGUAGUCAGCAGCAUCGCCAUAGACUUUGCUGCGUUCACUCUGAAAUGUCCGAGUUGCUAACUGGUUAUAGUUAUACACGAGCCCGCGGAAAUGUACGAGUUUCCUAGUUCUGAUUAGCACUUGAACGCGGCAUCAGUCUAUACGUGACGCUGACAACUUUUCACUUUCGGUUUUCUCCAAAUGCAUAGUACCACCAUACCUCAGUGGUGACGACCGUAUUUUCAACAAACCGACAACCCGAUAUAGGAUUUGGUUGGCAGAUCGCAUCCAACUUUUAUAGUUGUAUACACCGCCACCUACUGUACUGGUGUGUGAUGCCAUUCACGACUUAUCUACAUUCAAUUCUUGAUACGGUAAUACAACAUUGGGAAAAAGGAAAAUUGCCCUGCCAACUAAUAGCCCUCACAACAACAACAAAAAACACCACCCCUUCCACUAUUUAACCCGAUCUAAACUUCUAUUUUCUGUGACUUCUGAUCCAUUUCUGCAGUAUAAUUGACAACCAUGGCUAUGAAUGCUAAAAAGCCCACCUUACUGAAGCACAUAUUCUUCCCAUCACUCUCUUGGUCUCUGCCUACUCACAGGAAUCCUCUCAGUAUCCCUCACCCUGUAACCGUCUUCCUCUAUCACUCAAAUCAAAUUGUAUUGGUCGCAUACAUAUGUUAUUGCAGGUGUAACAAAAUGCUUGUGUUCCUAGCUCCAACAGUGCAGUAAUAUCUAACAAUACACACAAAUCUAAAAGUAAAAUAAUGGUAUUAACAAAUAUAGAAAUAUUAGGAUGAGCAAUGUCUGAGUCCAAAGUGUGUGUGUGUGUGUGUGUGUGUGUGUAUGUAUGUAUAUAUAUAUAUGUGUGUAUAUAUAUAUGUGUAUAUAUAUAUAUAUAUAUAUAUAUACACAAACAAAGGUAUGUGGACACCCCUUCAAAUGACUGGUUUUAGCUAUUUUAGCCACACCCAUUGCUGAUGUGUAUAAAAUUGAGGACACCACCAUGCAAUCUCCAUAGACAAACAUUGGCAGAAGAAUGGUCUUACUGAAGAGCUCAGUGACUUUCAACGUGGCACCGUCAUAGGAUGCCACCUUUCCAACAAGUCAGUUUGUCAAAUUUCUGCCUUGCUAGAGCUGCCCCGCUCAACUGUAAGUGCUGUUAUUGUGAAGUGGAAACAUCUAGGAGCAACAACGGCUCAGCCGCGAAGUGGUAGGCCACACAAGCUCACAGAACGGGACCGCCGAGUGCUGAUGCAUAUAGAGCGUAAAAAUUGUCUGUCCUCGUUGGCAACACUCACUACCGAGUUCCAAACUGCCUUUGGAAGCCACGUCAGCACAAUAACUGUUCGUCAGGAGCUUCAUGAAAUGGGUUUCCAUGGCCGAGCAGCUACACCCAAGCCUAAGAUCACCAUGUGCAAUGCCAAGCGUCAGCUGGAGUGGUGUAAAGCUCGACGACUUUGGACUCUGGAGCAGUGGAAACUCGUUCUCUUGAGUGAUGAAUCACGCUUCACCAUCUGGCAGUCCGACAGAUGAAUCUGGGUUUUGCGGAUACCAGGAGAACGCUACCUGCCCUAAGUGCUUAGCGCCAACUGUAAAGUUUGGUGGAGGAGGAAUAAUUGUCUGGGGCUGUUUUUCAUGGUUCGGACUAGGCCUCUUAUUUCCAGUGAAGGGAAAUCUUAAUGCCACAGCAUAAAAUUAUAUUUUAGACGAUUCUGUGCUUCCAACUUUGUGGAAACAGUUUGGGGAAGGUCCUUUCCUGUUUCAGUAUAACAAUGCCCACGUGCACAAAGCGAGGUCCAUACAGAAAUGGUUUGUCGAGAAUGGUGUGGAAUAAGUUGACUUCCCUGACCUCAACCACAUCGAACACCUUUGGGAUGAAUUGGAAGGCCGACUGCAAGCCAGGCCUAAUCGCCCAACAUCAGUGCCUGAUCCUCACUAAUGCUCGUGACUAAAUAGAAGCAAGUCCCCGCAGCAAUGCUCCAACAUCUAGUGGAAACCCUUCCCAGAAGAGAGGAGGCUGUUAUAGCAGCAAAGGGGGGACCAACUCCAUGUUAAUGCCCAUGAUUUUGGAAUGAGAUGUUUGACGAGCAGUAUAGUCAUGGAGGGAACAUCCGUGGAGGUUCUUGGCGUUCCCGACGAUAUCCUUGCCACUGUUAGAAUGGUCGACAAGCUCACAAUACACUUCCAACGACCAAGGAACGGGGGAGGAGAGGUGAAGAGAGUACAGUUUCCAGCCUACAGCCCAGGACAGGCCUUUGUCAUAUUUGAGGAACCAGAAGUGGCUGCUCGUGUUUUGCAGGAGACCCAUGUCUUAGAAGUGGAUGGACAACACUUUCCUCUUAAAAUCAGGAAAGCUGACAGGCCUGAGGUGGACAUGCCAGUCAAGGCCAAUCUGGAUGUGAGCAUGUUCUCCAUUGACAGCGAGAAGGCGCUCCAGCCUGUGAACGAGAUUCCCCAUGGUCAGCUACCCAUUCAGGGCUCCUUCCAACUGCAGCAGGUCUUACCCCAGGACACAAACACCCUGCGCCACAGCAGCCCUUCCCCAUCCAGUCUCAAUAGCCAUGCCUCUGGGGCCAUUUCCAAAUCCUCAAUCCGCUGCAACCCAUUUCCCAGCCGACAAGCAACGGGGUAUGUUGGGGACAACUUGACCCAUAUGAGGAACCCAUCCCCCAAGCCAGUGGAACCCAUCUCCCAGACCCAAUCUUGCAGUGAGGUCUUCUUCAUAACAGACGCAGAUGUGCUCAGUUAUGCCCUGUGCGUCAGGAAAAAGGACAUUGAUUCCAUUCUUGUAGGCCACACAACUCAAAUGGAUGUUAAGCCAGCUGACAGUUCAGACCUCCGCUAUGUUUUCCUUAAAGGGAAGAGUCCAGAGAGGGUUAUGGAAAAGCUGCAAGUUUUUCUCACCAAGCUUCAUUUAAGACUACGAACUCAAGAAAUCCCACUAUGGACACUCGAUCGCGACCGACAGGUUAGAAUUCAUGAACUGGUUCAGAAGUAUAAUAUAAUUUAUCCCACUGUCCUCGUCAAUCAGGUUGGAGAUCUCCUCCGCCUUGUAGGACCUUCCAAGGAAAGUUAUGAGAUGAAGCAGAGGCUCCUGGGAAAACCCAUACACCUGCUACCAGCUGGGCUAACAGGGAGGGUACUGGACAGGAGUGCCCAUAGUGCUCCUGGCCCAGUACCUGACCCUGUGUCUGCUACUGCACCAGAUUACUAGUAAAUUAACUACAUUUUGCAGUAGCUUGGUGGUAGUGGAGCUAAAUUCAAAUCUAGAUAGUGUUUGCAGUAGUUCAUUACUUGUUGUCAUGUAGCAGUGUAGCUAACUACUGGAACUACAUAUUACGUUUUAGCCAUGUAGUGGUGUAGCUAACUACUGGAACUACAUAUUACGUUUUAGCCAUGUAGCGGUGUAGCUAACUACUGGAACUACACACUACAUUUUAGCCACGUAGCGGGGUAGCUAACUACUGGAACUACACACUACAUUUUAGCCGUGUAGCGGUGUAGCUAACUACAGGAACUACACACUACAUUUUAGCUGUGUAGCUAACUACUGGAACUACACACUACAUUUUUGGCUAAAAUAAAAUGAGUGAAGUAGGCCAUCAUUUCCAUUUUUUGGCAUCAGACCAACCUGUUUCUCACUUGAAACAUAGUUUUUGUGUUUAGGCUAAAUUACACAUUCUGUUAAUAUAUGACCCCAAAGUGAUCUCUUGCAAUUUGUAGUCUGACAUUUCAGAUUUAGAUAUGAUACUUUUUCAAAAAGUAGUUUGGAUGUAGUGAACUACUUUUUCAAAAUAACUUUAAGUAAACAAUUUUUCUUAACUUCUUCCAGUGUGAGGUAAUUGGUAGCUUGCUAAACUAUCUUAUCUGAGUAGCUUUCCCAACACAGCAAAAUACCAGGGUGAGCCUGGCUCUCGUUCAUCCCAGGCAAAGCUAUUCUCUGUCCUGGCACCCAAAUGGUGGAACAAGCUUCCAGUUCUCCCUAAAAAUCAGGACAGCUGAGUCACAGCCCAUCUUCCGAAAACAUCUGAAAAGCCACCUCUUCAGUAUCUUUAACACCCUUGUUGACACCUACCACUACUCUUUUCUUACUCGCUUUGAUCAUUCAUUGAGGAAAAAUGUACUGACUAUGACUGUGUCAUGUGGUUGUCUCACCUAGCGAUCUUAAGAUAGAUGCACAAACUGUGCAGUGACUCUGGAUAAGAGCGUCUGCUGAAUGACAAAAAUGUCAUGUUUAAUGAACAUGGAAGGGUUGUACAAGGGGCUACAGUAGGCGCUGUGCCCUCUACACCCACUCCCAUUCACAGGGGAAGAAGUCACUCUGAUUCCCCGGCGAAAAUAAAAGAGCUUAGAGUUACACGGGAGGUCUUGAGGCAUGUAAGGUCAGAUGAUGUGGUGGUGCCCUCUGCUGGAACUCAAAUGCCAGUGGUGAAAAAGAAGUUCCAAAAUGUCCUACUAACAAUAGAAUGGAAGAAUGUGCUUUCAAUCAAGAAAAAGCCCUAGCAGGUUACUAGUUAGAUACAGACACCUGUAAUGAAAGUGGCUUGGCCUGUUUAUUUCUUGAAUGUCUUUAAUUUCAUAAUAUGAUGUGGGGUAAAAUGUUCAAUUCACAUGUAUACACAUUUUGUUUUGUAAGAUUUUUUUCUUCUUGGACAAAUUCAUUUCUGUAUUUUCUAAUAUUUUCUUUCUCAUGAUAUGAAUCUAUUCUAAAUGUGGUUUAUUUUUGUUUUGAGCGAUUGAGGGCAAUAAAAAUAUAUUAUAUUUGUGUUAAUUGAUCCUUUAAAUAUAUGCUGAUGCAAAGGCUGGUAACUAUACUCUAGGAGUGGACUUUGUUAAUCUACCGUAUCUGUUUUGAUUAUGUGGAGCAAUUAUUUAGAGAUGAUCUCAUCUUGUUUGUGUGGAAACUGUUCCUGAAAUGUGGUCACUUCAACUCCUCACACACACACACACACACACACACACACACACACACACACACACACACACACACACACACACACAAGACUAAAAUCAACACAUCAUGCUCUAGUUUGACAAUUUCUUUCGACUUGUCAUUGUCUCCACGUUUCUCGUCAGUCUGUUGCUAAUGGCAGUCUGUUGCUAAUGGCAGUCUGUUGCUAAUGGCAGUCUGGGUCCAUGCGUUUGCCUUAGUAUCUGCCUUAGUACUGUGCUUGUUCUUGUCAGACUGAUUCUGAGUGUUAACUUCUGGACCGGG